Molecule: ribosomal RNA, 229 nt
Filed under: uncultured soil bacterium
Lineage: Bacteria
Description: partial 16S ribosomal RNA
Rfam family: Bacterial small subunit ribosomal RNA
Source: RNAcentral
AGAGUGAACGCUGGCGGCAGGCCUAACACAUGCAAGUCGAACGGCAGCACAGUAAGAGCUUGCUCUUAUGGGUGGCGAGUGGCGGACGGGUGAGGAAUACAUCGGAAUCUGCCUAGUUUGUGGGGGAUAACGUAGGGAAACUUACGCUAAUACCGCAUACGACCUACGGGUGAAAGCGGAGGACCUUCGGGCUUCGCGCAGAUAGAUGAGCCGAUGGUCGGAUUAGCUA